UAAGGAAUAUUGCUCAAUGGGAGAAAUCCUGAAGCAGCAACGCCGCGUGGAGGAUGAAGGGUCUAUGACUUGUAAACUCCUGUAAAGAAGGAAAAAAUUCCCAUUUGAUGGGAGAUGAUGGUACUUCUGGAGUAAGCCCCGGCUAACUACGUGCCAGCAGCCGCGGUAAUACGUAGGGGGCAAGCGUUGUCCGGAUUUACUGGGUGUAAAGGGUGCUCAGGCGGAUUUGUAAGUCAGAGGUGAAAUCUUACAGCUUAACUGUGAAACUGCCUUGGAUACUGCAAGCCUAGAGUAUGGAAGAGAGUGAUGGAAUAUCUGGUGUAGCAGUGAAAUGCGUAGAUAUCAGAUAGAACACCAAUGGCGAAGGCAGUCACUUGGUCCAUUACUGACGCUAAAGCACGAAAGCGUGGGUAGCAAAC
Molecule: ribosomal RNA, 419 nt
Filed under: uncultured bacterium
Lineage: Bacteria
Description: bacterial SSU rRNA
Rfam family: Bacterial small subunit ribosomal RNA
Source: RNAcentral